CCUACGGGAGGCAGCAGUGAGGAAUAUUGGUCAAUGGACGAGAGUCUGAACCAGCCAAGUAGCGUGAAGGAUGACUGCCCUAUGGGUUGUAAACUUCUUUUAUAUGGGAAUAAAAUGUUCCACGUGUGGGAUUUUGUAUGUACCAUAUGAAUAAGGAUCGGCUAACUCCGUGCCAGCAGCCGCGGUAAUACGGAGGAUCCGAGCGUUAUCCGGAUUGAUUGGGUUUAAAGGGAGCGUAGGUGGAUUGUUAAGUCAGUUGUGAAAGUUUGCGGCUCAACCGUAAAAUUACAGUUGAAACUGGCAGUCUUGAGUACAGUAGAGGUGGGCGGAAUUCGUGGUGUAGCGGUGAAAUGCUUAGAUAUCACGAAGAACUCCGAUUGCGAAGGCAGCUCACUGGACUGCAACUGACACUGAGGCUCGAAAGUGUGGGUAUCAAACAGGAUUAGAUACCCGUGUAGUC
RNAcentral lists this ribosomal RNA (460 nucleotides) under uncultured bacterium. RNAcentral describes it as "partial 16S ribosomal RNA". It matches the Rfam family "Bacterial small subunit ribosomal RNA", at positions 338 to 795 of the family's 1533-position model. The record is from RNAcentral.